CACAUCAACACUUCAUUCAAUACUACUCACCAAACACCCGCCUUCCCCCUCCCUCAUUCAAUGAUUCUCACCAAACAUCAGCCGUCUGAGAGAGAGCGCCGCUGAGAGAGAGAGGGAGUCGGCCAGCCUGGUUCCACCGUCGACGUCGCCAUCGCCAAACACCCGCCCUCCCUCAUUCAAUACUUCAGCCGCUGCAGUAUGAGGGAUACGCCGAUCCUCCGGCGUCUUCCUUACUGAGAAAGAGCGAGAGCCGACGUCGCCAUCGCCCCGCCUGAAACCGUAAGCACGCCGCCGACGUCGCCAUCUCCCCGCCUGAAACCCUAAGCACGCCGUCGACGUCGCCAUCGCCCCGCCUGAAACCCUAAGCACGCCGCCGCCGCCUCGCUCGUCUGCUACCAGAGUUUCACGCCUUCUCAUGCACUCUUUUCUCCAGGAAAAUAAAAGAUGAAUGAUACUCAUUCCGAUCCUCAAUACGAAGAGGAGGAAGAGGAGGUGGACGAGACGUCCCAAGACAGUUUGGAGGAAGAGGAGGUCGCAGUGCAGCCGCAGAGGCGGAGGGGGAGGCGGAGGGGAAGACGACGAGGCCCACGAAAUGUCGCCCGCGAUGAGUAUGAAGAACCACCACCCCCGCCUCGUUAUGAAUGGAUGCGGCCGUGCAUGCAAACCUAUCAAGGACGGAUUAAUCUUUACCUUCGUUAUGAAGUCUUGGCAGAGGUCAUAACGUGCUUGUACUCAUUUGGGGCACAUGUUUUAGACAAGUUCUUAGUUGGUCCCAGGUUUCGUGUACAAUUUCGUGCAGUUGAUAACUAUGGAUGAUCCCAGGUUUCGUGUAUGUCUUUGUGUUCUAAUUUACAGAUUUCGUGUACUACUCGUGUACUGAAGAAAUAGGUUUCGUGUAUGCCUUCGUGCACUUGAUAUCAAUAAAUAA
This is a long non-coding RNA of Salvia miltiorrhiza (redroot sage), 928 nucleotides long. RefSeq lists it as uncharacterized. Lineage: Eukaryota; Viridiplantae; Streptophyta; Magnoliopsida; Lamiales; Lamiaceae. The transcript is spliced from 3 exons. The record is from RefSeq and is a predicted model, not a curated record.